RNAcentral lists this long non-coding RNA (5795 nucleotides) under Lynx pardinus (Iberian lynx). The record is from RNAcentral. Lineage: Eukaryota; Metazoa; Chordata; Mammalia; Carnivora; Felidae.
AUUUAUUCUUCAACCCUGCUCUUACCAGGUUCUGCUGUCACAUGUUACUGGCCUCCUCUCUCUAGAAUUGCACAAGGAUUUACAUGGUAUAGCCAACAGCGAUUUCAGAACUUGGCUUGCUUGAAAUAUCAACUGACGAUAAAUAAUCUUUCCUUUAGCCUCCUCAAUCCCGCUGAUCUGUAACUCUUAAGGAUUUAAACUUACACAGUUGUGGAGGUUGGUUUAGCAGUCUCUGAAAAGUUGUCUUUGCAACUGAUGACUGAUCUCACUGAACCCUGUCCUGAUUCCCAACCCACAGAAUAUAUGAGCAUAAUCACUAUCGUAUGCCUUUAAAUUUUGGGAUUUACUACACAACCAUAGUAAAUGAAACAUCUGUUUCUUUUGGGGUUACUUAAAUGUGUGUGUGUGUGUGUGUGUGUGACUCUAUAGAAUACAAUAUGUACCUGAGGAGUCUAGCUCCUAGUUAAAAACCUAUGUAUGAUUUUCCAGAACUGACCAUAGGCAAUUACAAAGGCUUUAGCUGGCAGGCAUCAUGGGAGAAAGCUCCCCUUCCAGCACCAGUUUUGGGGUACAGUCAGUGCAUGGCAGCCUCUUGAAAAAGUUGGAGUCAAGGACUUAAGCCACUCAGCAGUUACUGGUCUCCAUAGUCAUUAGUCACUCAGGCCCAUCAUGUUCUUCUCGUAUUUGCCUUCCCUGCCCAUUGUAGAUCUCUUUAUAUCAGGCCUGUUCAGGGUCCAAAUUCUUGUCAAGGUGUGUCUGCUGAGGUCUCUAUAUGCAAGGAGGAGGGAUACUUGAAGACAUUUCUUUUCACUGUGAUUCAGCGCCUAGCUCUUUUCUACUUCUAGCCCUUCCCCUCACUCUCUCCUGACCUCAGAACUGCUGGAUCCUUUGGAGCUCCCUCAACAACCCACCCCCACUUCUGGCUGAGCCACCAACUUCAGACCAUCGAGCCUCGUCUUGCCCAGGCAUUUUCUCCCAUCACAGUAAGUGAUUAAAGGCUUCACUCUUGUUUUUGGCUUGUUGGUUUAAUCAGCUACUCUGACACAUAGCCACUCAGCUUUCUCUAUCUCCCUGAGCUCAGCUGAGCUCCUAACAGUACCUUUAAGUAAUUACAGUCAGCCUGCAAAUAAUCUUGUAUUGCUCGAAAAAUAGCAGGUAAUAUAUAAUAAUCUUACAACAGUUUAAUUCUAUUUACCCCAUUCCCACCUUUGUGUCAUUAUAUUUUAUUUCAGUGUAUUCUGUAAACCCCACAAGACAUUGUUAUUAUUUUUAUUUUAUAUAGUCUCUUACUUGCAUUUAAAUACACACACACACACACACAUAUAUGUGUGUAUACAUAUUAAAGAUGUUUUUAAAUGGGCUUCUAUAAUUACCAUUUUUGUGGUCUUCAUCCUUUCCCACAGAUCUGGUUGUCCAUCUGGUCCAAUUUCCCUCCAACAACUCAGCAUUUCUUAUAAUGUCGGUCUACCACAGACAUAAUGUCUCCCAUUUCCCCACCUCCUGGAAAUGUCUUUAUUUUGCCUUCAUUUUUGAAGUGUAUUUUUGCUAGAUAGAGAAUUUUGGAGUUUUUAUGUUUUCUUUUAAGCAUUUAAAAAAUUUAUUGUCUUCUGGCUUCCAUUGCUUGUGAUGGGAAGUCAAACAUGAUUUAUGUUGUUAAUUCUCCUAUAUGUAAGGUUUCCAUUUUUCUCUGGCUGCUUUUAUUUUAUUAUUAUUUAUUAUUAUUAUUUUUUUUUUUUAAUUUUUUUUUCAACGUUUAUUUAUUUUUGGGACAGAGAGAGACAGAGCAUGAACGGGGGAGGGGCAGAGAGAGAGGGAGACACAGAAUCGGAAACAGGCUCCAGGCUCCGAGCCAUCAGCCCAGAGCCUGACGCAGGGCUCGAACUCACGGACCGCGAGAUCGUGACCUGGCUGAAGUCGGACGCUUAACCGACUGUGCCACCCAGGCGCCCCUAUUUUUUUUUAACGUUUUAUUUAUUUUUGAGACAGGGAGAGACAGAGCAUGAACAGGGGAGGGUCAGAGAGAGGGAGACACAGAAUCUGAAACAGGCUCCAGGCUCUGAGCUGUCAGCACAGAGCCCGACACGGGGCUCUAACUCACGGACUGCAAGAUCAUGACCUGAGCCGAAGUUGGCCGCUUAACCGACUGAGCCACCCAGUCGCCCCUCUCUGGCUGCUUUUAAUAUUUGCUUUUUAUAUUUUAUUAUCAUUAGUUUAACUAAUGAUAAUAGGCAAUGCUGCAGUUGUGGUGUUCUUAGUGUUUGUCCUCCUUCUGGUUUGCUGAGUUUCUUGUAAUUGUGGCAAGAUAUUUUUCAACAAUUUUGGGAAAAUUUUAGUCAAUAUUUAUUUUGUUAAAGUUUAUUCAUUUGAGAGUGCAGGGGUCAGGGAGGGAGGCAGGAGGGGCAGAGAGAGAGGGAGAGUGAGAAUCCCAAGCAGGCUCUGCAUGGUCAGAGCAGAGCCCGACCGUGGGGCUCUUGCCCACACAGUAACCAUGAGAUCAUGGUCUGAGCCAAAAUCAAGAGUCAGUUGCUCGAACCAGUCUCUUCUCAUGGUCCUGGGGCAGCUCUUUCUGUCUCUCUGCCCAUGGGUCCUGUCCAUGUGCUUUAAUAAAAUCAUCUUUUUGCACCAAAAAAAAAAAAAAGAGUCGGAUGCUCAACCAACUUAGCCACAUAGGUGCCUCUCCAUUACUAUUUUUUAAAACAUUUUUUCUGUGCCUUUCUCUCCCCUGUCUUUCUGAGGCACCAAUUACACACAUAUUAGAAUCUGAUAUUGUUCCACACGUCUCAAGUGCUCUGUUUUUCUUUUAUACCCUUUUUUCUUUGUUGCAAUUUAGUCUGGUCCUUUACUCUGCUGUUGUUUUCUAGUCUUCUAUGAAGUCUAUCUAGUAAUUCUUCAUUUUUAUUCUUGUAUUUUUUAUUUCUAGCUUUUCCAUUUGGUUCUUCUCUACAACUUUCAUGCCCAGAUGAAAUUCUCAAAUAUUUUGUCUGCCUUUUCUACUUGAUCCUUUAGCAUUUUUAUCACAGUUAUUUUUUUUAACUAAGCUUUUAUUUUGGGGUAAUGGUAGAUUUACCACAUAUGUAAGAAAUAAUACAGAGAGAACACAUGUACCCUUUACCCAGCUUCCCCUAAUGGUAAAAUCUUGCAAAACUGUAGUACAGUGUCACAAGGAUAUUGACCUUGAUACAAUCAGGAUACAGAAUAUUCUUAUGAACACAAGGAUCCUUCAUGGUGUCCUUUUAUAGACAUCUCCUCCCAACCCAAUCCUUGAACCUUGGCAACCACUACCACUAAUCUGUUCUCCAUUUCUCUAACUUUGUUGUUUCAAAGGGCACCUGGGUGGCUCAGUCGGUUGAGUGUCUGACUCUUGAUUUUGGCUCAGGUCAUGAUCGCAGCGUUGUGGGAUCGAGCCCUGCACCAGGCUCCAUGCUGAGCGUGGAGUCUGCUUAUGAUUCUUUCUCUCUCUCCCUCUGCCCCUCUCCUCUACUUGCUCUCUCUCUCUAAAAACAAACAAAUAAACAAACAAAUAAAUAACUUUGUCAUUUCAAGAAUGUUAUAUAAAUGGAAUCAUACAAUAUGUACUCAUUUGGGAGUGGCAUAAUUCUCUUGUGAUUCCUCCCAGUUAUUGUAUUUAUCAGUAAUUCGAUUGUUUUCUUUUCCUGAAUAGCAUUCUAUUGUAGUCAGUUCAAAGUUCCUGCGUGAUAAAUCCACUCUCAUCUAUUUCUGUGCCCUUUCCUACUGAUUGUUUGCUCUCAUCAUGAGUAUGGGUUGAUUUUGUUGCUUCUGUUGCACCUUGUAAUUUUUUUUUUUAUUAUACCCCAGAUAUUUCAUAUAAAAGAAAAGACUAGGGGCACCUGGGUGACUCAGUCGGUUGAGCGACCAACUUUGGCUCAGGUCAUGACCUCACGGUUCGUGGGUUUGAGCCCUGCAUUAGGCUCUGUGCUGACAGCUCAGAGCCUGGAGCCUGCUUCGGAUUCUGUGUCUCCUUUUCUCUCUGCCCCUCCCCACUCACGCUCUGUCUUUCUCUCAAAAAUAAAUAAACAUUAAAAAAAAGAAAAAAGAGUAGACUAAGUCAUAUUUACCUCAAGAAAAGAGCAAAGCCCUGUUCUGUCAGAAUGGUAGAAUUAGGGGCUGACGUGCAGUCCAGCUGGAUCUGGGCUUUGUCUCAGCUUUAUCUGAUUCAGCGUACCCCUGGCUUCACAUAGUUUGGGAUAUGAAAUUAGGCUCUUCUCAUCAGAAGAAACUGGUGCCUAACCGUCGCUGAACUUCUGGAGAUAUAUAUCUUUGGUUUUUGUGGCCAGGUUGCUAGCUUUUCUAACUGUAGGAUAUUUCCCUCUGAUUUAUAAUUCUUCUGGAAGGAGGGUCACCAAGGACAUUUCUUUGCUCUGCAGUCCCAGUCCUGGCUUUCUGAGCCUGGGGAAAUCUCUCUAUUUUGCUAUUCCUCCCUAUCUUUUGGAAGUUAGCUGCCUUGCUUCUUCCGAAGACCUGCAGACAGAUUUGUCUUGGCUCGUGUCUCUGCUCCCAUUCUUUGAUGUAUUGUCCUAGAGCACAUGGCCAGGUCCUAAAGAGUUGGCACUUGGAGAAAGACUCUGGCUGGAGUUUCUCAGGAUUCGAAUCUAUCAAACCAGCCCACACACAUCCAUUAUACUUUCUCCUUAUUUUUGAUUUCUCCUUAUUUUUUUGAUGGGCAUUUCUUUUUUGCUGCUUUGUCAUAAAGAAAAGUCACUCUGUAGAAGAGAAAGUUUUCUCUCUCCUAUGAUGAGUUUGUUACUCACUAGAGUUUAAUUUGUUUAGAUUCCUGACAAUCUAAUGAGCUUUAAAAAUUUUUUUUAAAUUGAUUUUGUUUUUAUACAGAUAAUUUUAGGUUAUUAGAAUGGGAAUAAUGGUCAUUUUUGUGGCUUUCUUCACACUAACCAAAGGAGAGAGGCAUUCCCUAAUUUUUAAGAUGGAAGUUAUAAAAAGCCCAGCAAAUUUUUGGGUGUCUGAAGGGCUGGUCAGUGCCUGAUUUUGCUUAGGACUGGGUAAAUCCUAACUCUGAAGCCAGGAAUAUUUUUUCUUUAGGGAAUAAUACAUAUGUCAGCCUCCUUGCUCUUCCCAAAGAUUUUAUUUUCAUACUUUUGAGAAGAUUUGUCUGUUUUUUUAAUACUCUGUUAGACAUGAAUUCUUAGAUGCCAGGCAUUCUGUCUGAAGGAUGUGGGAAGGGGAUUAGUAGUGAAGUCACCAGUUCCAUAUAUAUAUAGAUAUUUAACAAGCCCCCCUUUUCAACUGCACAUCUCACUCUUAUCCUCCACUGCAUCUAGUUUUCCAAGGGUUCUGGUGUCCGAUUGCGGUAUCUUCCUUGGAUAUGUUGAUACCAUUCAUGCAUAUUUUGGCUGCUGCUUCCUCCACCCUGGUUCAUAAUGAUUAUAAAACUUAUCUACUUGUUUUAUGUAUUCUAUAAAUUCGUUGAAAGCUCUCAGGUAUCUAAUAUUUGCUAAACAACUGGAGGGUUAGAGCUGAAUCCCAAGCAGCCUGAUUUCUGUUCUAGUUCACUUCUCAUUAACCUUAUCACUGUCUUAUUUCAUUAUCCCAUUUUUUUUUAAUAUAUCCAGAGUUUACUCAAAGCAUUACUUGAAGAAUCUUCAAGGUGCCACAUUGUAACAAUGAUUCAGCUGACAGCUACCCCUGCAAGCACGCUGACUGAUGAGCCAGUGCACAUCCGAGCUACAGGCCUGCGUCCCUCUCAGAUAGUGAUUUUUCAGGCAACACUGGAAGAUGAAAAGGGGAACCUGUUUCAUUCUCAAGCCUACUAUAAGGCCAGU